CCUACGGGGGACUGCAGUGGGGAAUAUUGCACAAUGGGGGAAACCCUGAUGCAGCGACGCCGCGUGAGUGAAGAAGUAUUUCGGUACGUAAAGCUCUAUCAGCAGGGAAGAAACUGACGGUACCUGACUAAGAUGCCCCGGCUAACUACGUGCCAGCAGCCGCGGUAAUACGUAGGGGGCAAGCGUUAUCCGGAUUUACUGGGUGUAAAGGGAGCGUAGACGGCAGCGCAAGUCUGGAGUGAAAUCCCAUGGCUUAACCAUGGAACUGCUUUGGAAACUGUGCAGCUAGAGUGCAGGAGAGGUAAGCGGAAUUCCUAGUGUAGCGGUGAAAUGCGUAGAUAUUAGGAGGAACACCAGUGGCGAAGGCGGCUUACUGGACUGUAACUGACGUUGAGGCUCGAAAGCGUGGGGAGCAAACAGGAUUAGAUACCCUAGUAGUC
This 440-nucleotide ribosomal RNA is filed under the name uncultured bacterium. RNAcentral's name for it is "partial 16S ribosomal RNA". It matches the Rfam family "Bacterial small subunit ribosomal RNA", at positions 338 to 795 of the family's 1533-position model. The record is from RNAcentral.